RNAcentral lists this ribosomal RNA (1254 nucleotides) under metagenome. RNAcentral describes it as "SSU rRNA". It matches the Rfam family "Eukaryotic small subunit ribosomal RNA", at positions 1 to 1289 of the family's 1831-position model. The record is from RNAcentral.
UCUGGUUGAUCCUGCCAGUAGUCAUUUGCUUGUCUCAAAGAUUAAGCCAUGCAUGUCUAAGUAUAAAUAGUAUACAGUGAAACUGCCAAUGGCUCAUUAAAACAGUUAUAGUUUAUUUGAUAAUUGACAAUUACAUGGAUAACCGUGGUAAUUCUAGAGCUAAUACAUGCUUAAACGCCCGACUUUAUGGAAGGGUGGUAUUUAUUAGACUGUAGCCAAUAUUCCUUGUGUCUAUUGCGGUGAUUCAUAAUAACUGAUCGAAUCUCUUUUUGAGAUAAAUCAUUCAAGUUUCUGCCCUAUCAGCUUUCGAUGGUAGUGUAUUGGACUACCAUGGCAGUAACGGGUAACGAAGAAUUAGGGUUCGAUUUCGGAGAGGGAGCAUGAGAAACGGCUACCACAUCUAAGGAAGGCAGCAGGCGCGUAAAUUACCCAAUCCUGACUCAGGGAGGUAGUGACAAGAAAUAGCAAACCGGGAACCUCAUGGUUUCACGGUAUUGCAAUGAGAACAAUUUAAAACCCUUAGCGAGAAUCAAGUGGAGGACAAGUCUGGUGCCAGCACCCGCGGUAAUUCCAGCUCCACUAGCGUAUAUUAAAGUUGUUGCAGUUAAAAGGCUCGUAGUUGAACCUCUGUCUGGGGCUAGUUUUGGCUUUGGUCAGGCUAGUUCUAGGCAUCCGCCUACAAGACUUAGAGGGCAUUCAGUUGUUCACUAGGAGGAGUAGGCAUUUUACUUUGAAAAAAUUAGAGUGUUUAAGGCAGGCAAUCGCCCGCAUAUAUUAGCAUGGAAUAAUAGAAUAGGACACUUUUCCAUUUCGUUGGUUAUUGGAAUCGUGUAGUGAUUAAUAGGGACAGUUGUGGGCAUUUGUAUUUAAUUGUCAGAGGUGAAAUUCUUGGAUUUAUUAAAGACAAACUAACGCGAAAGCAUUUGCCAAGGAUGUUUUCAUUAAUCAAGAACGAAAGUUAGGGGAUCAAAGACGAUCAGAUACCGUCCUAGUCUUAACUAUAAACUAUUCCGACUCAAUGUUUGACUGGCUUAUAUAACCAGUUGAGCGUUGUAUGAGAAAUCAAAGUCUUUAGGUUCUGGGGGGAGUAUGGUUGCAAAGCUGAAACUUAAAGGAAUUGACGGAAGAGCACAACCAGGAGUGGAUUCUGCGGCUUAAUUUGACUCAACACGGGGAAACUUACCAGGUUAAAACAAUAGUGGGAUUGACAGUUUGAGAGCGCUUUCUUGAUUGGUUGGGUGGUGGUGCAUGGCC